AUGAGGCAUUUGGCAGCAAACUUUUACUCCAAAUUCAAAAACAAGGAUUGGUUCAAGUUAUUCAAGAGGAUGUGCAUGCAAAAAACUAAAUCCAAAAUGAAUGCGAUAUGGGCAGGUAUCAAUGGUGAGAUCGACCGCGCGGCCUUGCCGCAGAGAGAAGACUGGAGGGGUCGUAGGACGGCCAUAAAUUUGAGCCAGUGGAUCACCGAGAAUUGCCCUCAUUUGGAGAAGUGGGCGCAGGCUCACGACACCGGGGCUCGGUAUGGAAUAAUGACCAGCAACAUGUCAGAGGUGUACAAUGGUGUUCUUAAAGGGGUGCGAGCACUGCCUAUCACAGCCCUAAUUGAAGAAACUUGGAACCGGACCCUGUCAUACUUUGCAGACAGGGUCACCGUCGCCAAAGAACAAGUUGAAUUGAACAAGCCAUGGUCCGAGAAGAUGCAAAGACAUCUGGACGAGAAAGCAAAGAAGUCCCAAAGUCAUGGCUGCAGGAAAGUGGACGCACUUAGGAAUAAGUGGGAGGUCAAUGUGCGAGCCAAGUACGUUAAGGGUCACCACAGAGGAUCAAAAAAGCAAGCUGUCACCCUUGGCUCAACCUCCUGUGAGUGCACUUGUAACAAGCCCAAGCUUGAGGGCUACCCUUGCAGUCAUGUGCUCCGGGCGGCUGCUGUUCAAAAAAUCAGCGUCGAGCCAUACAUAUCGCCGUACUUCAACAUGUACAAUCUGUACAACACUUGGAACGGUGAGUUCUGGGCUUGGGGCAUUGAUAUGAACUACAAAAUGUUGUGGCCAGAUGGGCCGAAAUGGGUUCCGAACACCGACUUGAUGAGAACCGCAAAGGGACGACGUCAGUCUAGGCGUCAUCGCAAUGACAUGGACCAUAGCCAGAUGGGAGAACCAAGGCGAUGCCGCGUUUGCAGGUGUCCUGGACAUUCACGCAAAGACUGCCCGUAUCGAGCCAACAACAACGCAUGA
Molecule: ribosomal RNA, 975 nt
Filed under: Triticum aestivum (bread wheat)
Lineage: Eukaryota; Viridiplantae; Streptophyta; Magnoliopsida; Poales; Poaceae
Description: partial small subunit ribosomal RNA
Source: RNAcentral